RNAcentral lists this ribosomal RNA (385 nucleotides) under uncultured bacterium. RNAcentral's name for it is "bacterial SSU rRNA". It matches the Rfam family "Bacterial small subunit ribosomal RNA", at positions 370 to 772 of the family's 1533-position model. The record is from RNAcentral.
AAUGGGCGAAAGCCUGAUGCAGCAACGCCGCGUGAGCGAUGAAGGCCUUCGGGUCGUAAAGCUCUGUCCUCAAGGAAGAUAAUGACGGUACUUGAGGAGGAAGCCCCGGCUAACUACGUGCCAGCAGCCGCGGUAAUACGUAGGGGGCUAGCGUUAUCCGGAAUUACUGGGCGUAAAGGGUGCGUAGGUGGCCUUUUAAGUUGGAUGUGAAAUACCCGAGCUUAACUUGGGGGGUGCAUCUAAUACUGGGAGGCUAGAGUGCAGGAGAGGGAAGCGGAAUUCCUAGUGUAGCGGUGAAAUGCGUAGAUAUUAGGAGGAACACCAGUGGCGAAGGCGGCUUUCUGGACUGUAACUGACACUGAGGCACGAAAGCGUGGGGAGCAAA